UGGCUCAGUUGGUAGAGUAUGGCACUUGCAAUGCAAAGGUUGUGGGUUCAAGUCCCAU
This 58-nucleotide transfer RNA is filed under the name Salmo salar (Atlantic salmon). It matches the Rfam family "tRNA", at positions 8 to 63 of the family's 71-position model. From Rfam's summary of the family: Transfer RNA (tRNA) molecules are approximately 80 nucleotides in length. Their secondary structure includes four short double-helical elements and three loops (D, anti-codon, and T loops). Lineage: Eukaryota; Metazoa; Chordata; Actinopteri; Salmoniformes; Salmonidae. The record is from Rfam by way of RNAcentral.